AAAAAUGAAAUCACUUGAUGUUUCACUUACAAUGAAAAUUCGUAUUAACUUACCAUUUUUU
This 61-nucleotide transfer RNA is filed under the name Dermacentor auratus. Its description in RNAcentral is "tRNA-Val". The record is from RNAcentral. Lineage: Eukaryota; Metazoa; Arthropoda; Arachnida; Ixodida; Ixodidae.